Molecule: ribosomal RNA, 102 nt
Filed under: Comparettia langkastii
Lineage: Eukaryota; Viridiplantae; Streptophyta; Magnoliopsida; Asparagales; Orchidaceae
Also listed under: 1 other name
Description: partial 18S ribosomal RNA
Rfam family: Eukaryotic small subunit ribosomal RNA
Source: RNAcentral
UCGCCGCCCGCGACUCGGCGAAAAGUCCAUUGAACCUUAUCAUUUAGAGGAAGGAGAAGUCGUAACAAGGUUUCCGUAGGUGAACCUGCGGAAGGAUCAUUG